GAAACGCGAUAGUUAAUGUGAAUUGCAGAAUUCAGUGAAUCAUCGAGUCUUUGAACGCACAUUGCGCCUUUUGGUAUUCCGAGAGGCACGCCUGUUCGAGCGUCAGUGAAAACCCUUCCGGGCCAGCUAUUGCAGCGCGGCCGCGGGACCCUGGCGAGGGGAUGUCCGACCGUCGCGCCUCCGGGCGCGGGCCAGGUCUCUCCCCCGCUUAAACUCGGAGAAAGCUAGCGGGCUUACCGGCCACGACCGCGAAGACUAGUAAAACUUACCCGUCAUCCGUGUCCACUGUGGAAGCCCCGCCUGAAAAACCCGACGGCACUUCCGGUGCCAUCCUGACUCUUGACCUCGAAUCAGACGAGGAUACCCGCUGAACUUAA
This 377-nucleotide unclassified non-coding RNA is filed under the name uncultured Orbiliales. RNAcentral's name for it is "sequence contains ITS1". The stretch from base 1 to 105 matches the Rfam family "5.8S ribosomal RNA", at positions 50 to 154 of the family's 154-position model. The record is from RNAcentral. Lineage: Eukaryota; Fungi; Ascomycota; Orbiliomycetes; Orbiliales.